RNAcentral lists this ribosomal RNA (109 nucleotides) under Helianthus annuus (common sunflower). Lineage: Eukaryota; Viridiplantae; Streptophyta; Magnoliopsida; Asterales; Asteraceae. The record is from RNAcentral.
UGUUUUGAGCUUAGUUCGCUGUGGAGCUCAUGAAAACUCAACAGUUAAGUGUGCUCAGGGGGGAGUAGUACUAGGAGGGUGACCUCCUGGGAAGUCUCCACCAGGGCAA